This 300-nucleotide long non-coding RNA is filed under the name Panax ginseng (ginseng). RNAcentral's name for it is "long non-coding RNA (PGIN_LNC009644)". Lineage: Eukaryota; Viridiplantae; Streptophyta; Magnoliopsida; Apiales; Araliaceae. The record is from RNAcentral.
AACAGGGUUGGGCUGGUUCUUCCUUCUGUGAGGAUUUCACAAAUGUAAUGCCUCUACUAAAACUUGAAGCAUUACUAGUGCUAGUUUCCUUUAUCUUUUCCACACAUGGCUCUGAGAUGGAUUCCCCAAAGCCUAAGCCUGUUCUGUUAAAUGCACUUCUCUGACUAGAGAGCAGGGAGUCCAUGGAUAAUGAGGAUUUGUUCCAUGUAGAGAUAGUCUUUUCUAGUUUCUCAAUUUUAGAGGUUAAACUUGACUCUCUUUGUGCAUUGAGCUCAUUGGUCUGUUUUAAGAACUUAUUCU